GGUUAAGCGACUAAGCGUACACGGUGGAUGCCCUGGCAGUCAGAGGCGAUGAAGGGCGUGCUAAUCUGCGAUAAGCGCCGGUAAGGUGAUAUGAACCGUUAUAACCGGCGAUACCCGAAUGGGGAAACCCAGUGUGAUUCGUCACACUAUCAUUAACUGAAUCCAUAGGUUAAUGAGGCGAACCGGGGGAACUGAAACAUCUAAGUACCCCGAGGAAAAGAAAUCAACCGAGAUUCCCCCAGUAGCGGCGAGCGAACGGGGAGGAGCCCAGAGCCUGAAUCAGCAUGUGUGUUAGUGGAAGCGUCUGGAAAG
RNAcentral lists this ribosomal RNA (312 nucleotides) under Salmonella enterica. RNAcentral's name for it is "partial 23S ribosomal RNA". It matches the Rfam family "Bacterial large subunit ribosomal RNA", at positions 1 to 349 of the family's 2925-position model. The record is from RNAcentral. RNAcentral also lists the same sequence under 3 other names. Lineage: Bacteria; Pseudomonadati; Pseudomonadota; Gammaproteobacteria; Enterobacterales; Enterobacteriaceae.